AGCGAACGCUGGCGGCAGGCCUAACACAUGCCAGUCGAACGAACUCUUCGGAGUUAGUGGCGGACGUGUGAGUAACACGUGGGAACGUGCCUUUAGGUUCGGAAUAACUCAGGGAAACUUGUGCUAAUACCGAAUGUGCCCUUCGGGGGAAAGAUCUAUCGCCUUUAGAGCGGCCCGCGUCUGAUUAGCUAGUUGGUGAGGUAAAGGCUCACCAAGGCGACGAUCAGUAGCUGGUCUGAGAGGAUGAUCAGCCACAUUGGGACUGAGACACGGCCUAAACUCCUACGGGAGGCAGCAGUAGGGAAUCUUGCGCAAGGGGCGAAAGCCUGGCGCAGCCAUGCCGGGUGAAUGAUGAAGGUCUUAGGAUUGUAAAAUUGUUUCACCGGGGACGAUAAUGACGGUACCCGGAGAAGAAGCCCCGGCUAACUUCGUG
Molecule: ribosomal RNA, 433 nt
Filed under: uncultured bacterium
Lineage: Bacteria
Description: partial 16S ribosomal RNA
Rfam family: Bacterial small subunit ribosomal RNA
Source: RNAcentral